This 1176-nucleotide long non-coding RNA is filed under the name Bemisia tabaci. RNAcentral describes it as "lncRNA ENSSSA1NGG001153". Lineage: Eukaryota; Metazoa; Arthropoda; Insecta; Hemiptera; Aleyrodidae. The record is from RNAcentral.
UUGUGUGUGGUUAUUUGGAUUACUCAUGUGCUCUUGCUAACAGUCGCUAGCCUGGAGGCUGCCCGGAUAUGGAAAUCGCAACCUGGAUUUGUGUGUGAGGGGCUCUUGCCUCUUGGAUUCGUGCUAACCUAACCUCUGAAAUUAUGCCAUCAUUCUAAGUGACAGUUCAUCAUCAAGUAGCUGAGAUUCGUGGGAUUCGAGGAGCCUGCAGAGCAUGUCGAGGCGUAAACAGAAUUGUCCAAAACGCAUGAAAUGUAAGUUGAAUGUUCUUGAACCCAAGUGUUGCCAGCUUUUGCUCCAACGGUGGUGCGUACAAGAUUUAAUAUUUUAACUUCGUUCUUCUCUCUCUAGGAUAUGUCUCUUGUACUGACAAUCAAUCCCAAAUGCUACUGAGCGUGACUUGGAAACGUGCACAAAAAAUUUCGUAGAAAAAUACUGCACAGAAAUCGAUGUUUAAUCAAGUGUAUUUUAUACAUUUCACAGUGUAUAGUGUAUAUGUCGAAGGCAAAUAGUCAAAUCAGGAAUUUCGUCAAAUAGUUAGGCAAAUAGUCGGAUAGUUCUUAUUUAGAUUGAAAUUGUCAUUAUUUUCCUAUUUUGUAAAAAAUAAUUCUUUGCUCCUGUAAGAAAGAAUUCUCUGUAAAUAUGCAGCAUACAGUAGUAUUUUAAACGAUUUUUAGUUCCUGAACGCACAUUUAUCUUGUAAUUUUCAGCACUUCAAAAACAUAGAAUUUUAAAAUUGUAGCAUUUAAAUGUACGAGUGGCAUUUGAAAAGGAAGGUACAAGGAGAGUUCGCGGAUUUGAAGAGUUAUUCUUCACAAAAUAUUGAGAACCCAUGAACUAACCCGCCAUAAAUUUACAGAAUUCCGUCGUCCGUCAAAAGAGUACCGGCCUAUAGGCAUUCGAUAAAAUUCCGGAUUUGACUCAUUGCCUCAGACUUCUAUGUAUGGUUGAUUUAAUACAUUUCAUCACUCAUCAUAGUCAAGGCGUUUUGUUUUAAAUUUUCUUUUUCCUUUUUUUCUGCUCUUUCUCUAGGUAUCAGUGCCGCAAAGCGAUGUAAAAUAAUUCAUAGCGACCAGAACGAAGCAAUGAAAGGUAGAACUGAACAUUGCGGAAGUUAUCUGCGUUUUUGCGCAAAGCUCAAAACUUCGCAAGAAUAAAUAUGUUGCCUAAAGGGUU